GAUGAACGCUGGCGGCGUGCCUAAUACAUGCAAGUCGAGCGAACAGACGAGGAGCUUGCUCCUCUGACGUUAGCGGCGGACGGGUGAGUAACACGUGGAUAACCUACCUAUAAGACUGGGAUAACUUCGGGAAACCGGAGCUAAUACCGGAUAAUAUAUUGAACCGCAUGGUUAAUAGUGAAAGACGGUUUUGCUGUCACUUAUAGAUGGAUCCGCGCCGCAUUAGCUAGUUGGUAAGGUAACGGCUUACCAAGGCAACGAUGCGUAGCCGACCUGAGAGGGUGAUCGGCCACACUGGAACUGAGACACGGUCCAGACUCCUACGGGAGGCAGCAGUAGGGAAUCUUCCGCAAUGGGCGAAAGCCUGACGGAGCAACGCCGCGUGAGUGAUGAAGGUCUUCGGAUCGUAAAACUCUGUUAUUAGGGAAGAACAAAUGUGUAAGUAACUAUGCACGUCUUGACGGUACCUAAUCAGAAAGCCACGGCUAACUACGUG
This 496-nucleotide ribosomal RNA is filed under the name uncultured bacterium. Its description in RNAcentral is "partial 16S ribosomal RNA". It matches the Rfam family "Bacterial small subunit ribosomal RNA", at positions 28 to 507 of the family's 1533-position model. The record is from RNAcentral.